AGUCACUUGCACAGAGCAUCACCACACCCCUUAUACCAGAGAAAGUUUGAUAGACAGUUGCCUGUAGACCAAUCAGAUCAAGUUUAGAUCACUCCCACCUUUAAUAGUUACCCCCCAAAAACAAAUGAUAUAAAUAAGACUUCUUGAUUAUUAGAGACAGGAGAAUACCAACGAUAGAAUACUAGACCCUCACUGAUCCUGACUGACUGACUUCAAGACUCAGACGUCCAUCGAAUAUUAUAUUAACUUCACUCCUAAUCUUAAUCUUAUACUUCGAAACUAUUAUAUUCAUCGUCUCCUGUUAUAUCUGAAUCUUCAUGUACUUCAAAUUGUGAACUGUCAACUGCAACUGAUGAUUAAAUACCUAGUGAUUUGAACUGUAUAACUUUCUGCAAAGUUUCUUCAUUACGCUUCCCUUCAAUAAUCACCGAUCCCAUCCCCCAACACAACAUGGUGGAGAACCGGCUUUAAUAAAAUACUUCAAGAGUGCAGGAUUAACAAAUUGCAGAGCAAAAAAAGCUUACGACUUUGCCAACCAGCUACAAAAUUUGCAAAAAUGAACUGGACACUUCAUAUUUUAAGAUUGAAUCUGUGAGCAGACUUCUUCAAUCUACAGCAACAUAAACUCGAGUCGAAAAAAAAAAAAGAAAAGAAGAAAUUUAACCAUACAGACGGAUAGAUCAGACGGACAGAACAGACGGAUAGAGCAGACGGAAGACUCAGACGGAGAAGAAUUUGGUGUUGUGCUGGAGGAAUGCGGAUGAAUUCAGGUCGAAUGGCAAGAAGAUGCCCUGUGCAGCCCAGAAAAAAUGCCAUCAGACCUAGUGGCCCUGAAAUCCAAGGUUCAUCUGGAAGAGUUUGCCCAACAGGAAACACGCAACAUGGAGCUAGAUUGGGAAGAAUUCUUUGCUGAAGGAUGACCUCAACAAACUUGGGUCAAAUGUCUGGAAGAUUCCUAGAAAUAUGCCACCUCAACCAGUUGUAGUACCAUUCAUGAGAGUUAAGCCCCCAAAUCCAAGGUUCAUCUGGAAGAAGUUGCCCUAUAGGAAGCAUGCAACCUGGAGCUAGAUUGGGAAGAAUUCAUUAUCUGCUGAAGGAUGAACUCAACAAAUCCAGGUCAAGAUGCCUUGAAAUAUGCUACCAUAUCCUGAAGUACACAAGCACAGAGUGCCAUUCAUGAGAGUUAAGCUCCCAAAUCCAAGGUUCAUCUGGAAGAAGUUGCCCUACUGGAAA
RNAcentral lists this long non-coding RNA (1233 nucleotides) under Lytechinus variegatus (green sea urchin). Its description in RNAcentral is "uncharacterized LOC121418191, transcript variant X2". Lineage: Eukaryota; Metazoa; Echinodermata; Echinoidea; Temnopleuroida; Toxopneustidae. The record is from RNAcentral.